This 411-nucleotide ribosomal RNA is filed under the name Actinomycetes bacterium. RNAcentral describes it as "Actinobacteria bacterium partial 16S ribosomal RNA". It matches the Rfam family "Bacterial small subunit ribosomal RNA", at positions 355 to 776 of the family's 1533-position model. The record is from RNAcentral. Lineage: Bacteria; Bacillati; Actinomycetota; Actinomycetes.
UGGGGAAUAUUGCACAAUGGGCGCAAGCCUGUUGCAGCGACGCCGCGUGGGGGAUGACGGCCUUCGGGUUGUAAACUCCUUUCGCUAGGGACGAAGCUUUUUGUGACGGUACCUAGAUAAGAAGCACCGGCUAACUACGUGCCAGCAGCCGCGGUAAUACGUAGGGUGCGAGCGUUGUCCGGAAUUACUGGGCGUAAAGGGCUCGUAGGUGGUUUGUCGCGUCGUCUGUGAAAUUCCGGGGCUUAACUCCGGGCGUGCAGGCGAUACGGGCAUAACUUGAGUACUGUAGGGGUAACUGGAAUUCCUGGUGUAGCGGUGAAAUGCGCAGAUAUCAGGAGGAACACCGAUGGCGAAGGCAGGUUACUGGGCAGUUACUGACGCUGAGGAGCGAAAGCAUGGGUAGCGAACAGG